Molecule: ribosomal RNA, 382 nt
Filed under: Pseudovibrio sp. 5Bb1S55
Lineage: Bacteria; Pseudomonadati; Pseudomonadota; Alphaproteobacteria; Hyphomicrobiales; Stappiaceae
Description: bacterial SSU rRNA
Rfam family: Bacterial small subunit ribosomal RNA
Source: RNAcentral
CGGCCUUAGGGUUGUAAAGCACUUUCAGCAGUGAAGAUAAUGACAUUAACUGCAGAAGAAGCCCCGGCUAACUUCGUGCCAGCAGCCGCGGUAAUACGAAGGGGGCUAGCGUUGUUCGGAAUCACUGGGCGUAAAGCGUACGUAGGCGGACUGAUCAGUCAGGGGUGAAAUCCCGGGGCUCAACCCCGGAACUGCCUUUGAUACUGUCAGUCUUGAGAUCGAGAGAGGUGAGUGGAACUCCGAGUGUAGAGGUGAAAUUCGUAGAUAUUCGGAAGAACACCAGUGGCGAAGGCGGCUCACUGGCUCGAUACUGACGCUGAGGUACGAAAGCGUGGGGAGCAAACAGGAUUAGAUACCCUGGUAGUCCACGCCGUAAACGAUG